GUUGAUUCUGCCGGAGGUUACUGCUAUCGAGGUUCGACUAAGCCAUGCGAGUUGAAUGCAGCAAUACAUGGCGAACUGCUCAGUAACACGUGGACAACCUGCCCUUAGGUUGGGUAUAAACCCGGGAAACUGGGUAUAAUACCCGAUAGGUCUCGAUUGCUGGAAUGCAUCGAGAUUUAAAGCUCCGGCGCCUAAGGAUGGGUCUGCGGCCUAUCAGGUAGUAGUGGGUGUAGCGUACCUACUAGCCUACGACGGGUACGGGUUGUGAGAGCAAGAGCCCGGAGAUGGAUUCUGAGACACGAAUCCAGGCCCUACGGGGUGCAGCAGGCGCGAAAACUUUACAAUGCUGGCAACAGCGAUAAGGGGACCUCGAGUGCCAGGUUACAAAUCUGGCUGUCGUGAUGCCUAAAAAGCAUUGCAUAGCAAGGGCCGGGCAAGACCGGUGCCAGCCGCCGCGGUAACACCGGCGGCUCGAGUGGUAACCGUUAUUAUUGGGUCUAAAGGGUCUGUAGCCGGCCGGAUAAGUCUCUUGGGAAAUCUGGCAGCUUAACUGUCAGGCUUUCAGGAGAUACUGUCUGGCUCGAGGCCGGGAGAGGUGAGAGGUACUUCAGGGGUAGGGGUGAAAUCUUGUAAUCCUUGAAGGACCACCAGUGGCGAAGGCGUCUCACCAGAACGGACCUGACGGCAAGGGACGAAAGCUAGGGGCACGAACCGGAUUAGAUACCCGGGUAGUCCUAGCCGUAAACGAUACUCGCUAGGUGUCGGCCACGGUGCGACCGUUGUCGGUGCCGUAGGGAAGCCGUGAAGCGAGCCACCUGGGAAGUACGGCCGCAAGGCUGAAACUUAAAGGAAUUGGCGGGGGAGCACCACAACGG
This 875-nucleotide ribosomal RNA is filed under the name uncultured archaeon. Its description in RNAcentral is "bacterial SSU rRNA". It matches the Rfam family "Archaeal small subunit ribosomal RNA", at positions 7 to 887 of the family's 1478-position model. The record is from RNAcentral.